This 371-nucleotide microRNA precursor is filed under the name Medicago truncatula (barrel medic). RNAcentral describes it as "MIR2655 microRNA precursor family". It matches the Rfam family "MIR2655 microRNA precursor family". The record is from Rfam by way of RNAcentral. Lineage: Eukaryota; Viridiplantae; Streptophyta; Magnoliopsida; Fabales; Fabaceae.
CCCAUAAGUAAUAAAAUGUCCUUUUAGGUCCCUUAACUUUAUUUAAAGUAUGGGUUUGGUCCCUUCAGUUAAUUUAAUUUAAAAAAACGUUAAAUUUAGGGACCAAAUUAAUACUAAUUAAAUAAGUUAAGGGAUCAAAAAACCCACUUGGGUUGGCCUAGUGGUAUUGGCUUGGAUCUGAGAGUUUGCUCCUCCUCGUUCGAUUCCCUCCGGUGCCAGCUUAGGUGGACUAAUUUAGCUUUUUCAAAAAAUAUAAAAGGUUAAAGGACCAAAAAUUAACAUUUUUUUAUUAAUUAAAUUAACAUAAAAAAUCUAACUAAUACUUUAAAUAAAAUUAAGGGACUUAAACCAACCUUUUAUUUCUUAUUAUA